GCCAGGACUCUCUCGGCGCGCGGUGGAGAACUGAUAGACUUCGGAAGGAAGAUGGUUGCUGGUGAGGCUAGCGUACGUGGAAAUAGCGAGUGGAAUCUGAGUCCAGUCCGCAGAAGGCGGGGUGGGAUCCUGGGGACUUCAGAACCCCAACCAGCGGCAGGAGGAGACGGCGGGCUCUUGGUUCUUCAGUGGGACCUGUGAAAACAGCACUGUACCUGCUGACCUUAGGUGAAACUGCAGUAAACUCUGACCUUCCCAUGUGAGUUUUCCAUGACCCCAGGAUGAAGUGGAACAUCUCCUUCCCCAGAUGUCUGGGCACCUUGAAAAUGAAGUUUGAACACAUAUUUUGGUCUCCUAAUAAAACUUCUCUUCCAAGACUCUUUGUAAAUAAGCAAUAAAAAGUUUGAGUGCU
Molecule: long non-coding RNA, 412 nt
Organism: Cervus elaphus (red deer)
Lineage: Eukaryota; Metazoa; Chordata; Mammalia; Artiodactyla; Cervidae
Exons: 2
Source: RefSeq, a predicted model, not a curated record